Oncorhynchus nerka (sockeye salmon) is the source of this 1037-nucleotide long non-coding RNA. RefSeq lists it as uncharacterized. Lineage: Eukaryota; Metazoa; Chordata; Actinopteri; Salmoniformes; Salmonidae. The record is from RefSeq and is a predicted model, not a curated record. The transcript is spliced from 2 exons.
UAAAACACUCACCCUCGUCGCCAUCUUGGAGGGCAGUCCAAAUGAUUAUCCAAGCAAGGGAAGUUUGCAACGUAAUCCCCCCAGCCCUGGAAGGUGGAGCGGCGGACCUUUGUGGGAAAAUGUUGUCAUCAAAGUCUGGCAUUCUCUGGAUUUAUGGUGCUUUCAAGACAACUGGGAACUUCUAAAAAAAACAAGGUCGAAUCAUGAUGACGUCAUUGAUCUUCAGGUCGCAGCUCUAGAAAGAGGCUGGAUUUACAAUUCCGAGUUAGAUGACGUUCAAAACGUAUUUUCUCAGUCGGAGCUCGUUUAUUCCCGACUCCCAGUGUUCUUGAACUCACUGAAGUCAAGUUUUCGCAGUUAACAGUUGUUUUGAGUGCGGCACAAAUCAUGCUUCAUUGACAGCAUGGCCAAUGUUGAAAGUUUAUCAUUUUAAAUUUGGAAAAGAUCCCCUUAAUUCCAGAUUUGGGACCACACAGUAACUCCACUGAAUAGUAGGCUAGUGAUUGCUUUGCAAUGCUUGCAGUUAGCCACUGUCACUGAUUCCUUCCAAAACCACUCAUUGUUGAAUUUGCGAUUUCCAACUUGUUGUGUAAUGUUUAUGUCCAAUGGCCAAAGAGCACCCAUACGUUUUAUCUAUAAUUUCUCUUCAUUAUUUCUCUUCAUAUGACAAGGAUUAAAAUGGAUUUUCCAACUAAGAUUUUGAAAAUAUGAUGUUGACAUGAUCAGUCCAAUCAAAGCUACUCUACAUAUAACGUGGUUUGACGUGGUUUUAUCUGUGGCCAAUGACCUUGAGCCUUCUUGGAUGGGCACUUCUAAUGUAACUCUAUGGCAGCACACAAGGGGCUAGAAUUUUCUAGCACUACCCUUAGACUUGGUGGUGACCUAGUGUCCCCAUGAGUGACAGAACAUGGGGCCAACCACGGCGCUUCGUAUAUUCUGCUGGCUUGCCCCACAACCACAGAAAGCAUUGAGCUAGGCUGAAACACCUGCAUUUUGGAACUGCCUUACUCAAGAAAAUAAAAGAGACCAUGUUUGUA